AAGUCGGUGGGCCUUUGGGACAGCAGGGAAGGUUGUAAGCUGCUGUGCCUCCCUAGGCCUCCCUCAUAUCUCUGGAGGAUGGCUGAGAAAAUUGCAUCCAAGGAGAGCUGAACUCUUCCAGCGGGGUGCAGAAAUUGAGCAAAAAUCCAGAAGAUUCCUGCAUCCUGACAAAGUACUUCCUUUCUAUGCACAGAGGAUUUGCGAAGAUUUUAUCAAGAUUUCCUGAAGAUUCUGGCUCCUUUCCUGUACCCUGCCAAAGGAGUUCUCUUCUGUGCAUGGAAGGGAGGUGAACUCCUUCAGCAAGCAGCUCUUUCGGCCAGUCCACAAAGAUGGCAAGGGAGCCAAAAUCCAAGCAGAGAAUAGAGAAUCAGCAUGGUCAGUGUGACACAGUCUGAUUGGCAGAAGCCCUCCAGAGUUCCAGGCAAAAUAUCCCUCCCAUCAUCCAUUACUUGAUCUUUUAAGUGGAGAUGCCAGUGGAGAAGACUAGAAUUGGGACCUUUUGUACCUACAGCAGGAAAAUCCUGUUCCAAGAGAUGAUUUCAAAGAUGUGUGCAAUCCUUGCUAAAACAUUAUGGAGUACAAGAAGAACUGACACCAUCUUCUUCUUUCCAAAUGACAAAAAACAAAGGUGUGUGUGUGAUAUGCUCCUACAACUGAGUACAAGCACGGAAAGAAGCAUAGCAGGUCUAUUCAAAGCACUGUAGUGUAAUUACAUAUUGCUUAAUGAAAUGAACAGGUUGUUUAAGUAGCAUUAUGUUUCUACGUAUGUGGAAGAAACAUAAGACAUAUUUGCAAAGACUGAACAGAAACAAAUUACAGAUAGUCCUUGACUUACAAUAAUUCAUUUCGUGACUAUUCAAAGUUACAACAGCAGUGAAAAAAAAUCUGAUUUAUGAUCAUUUUUCACAUUUACAACUGUUGCAUGUUAUGGUCAUGUGAUCAAAAUUCAAACACUUGGCAACGGACUCAUAUUUAUGGCGGUUGCAGUGUCCCUGGGUCAUGUGAUCACCUUUUGUGACCUUCUGAUAAGCAAAGUCAAUGGGGAAGCCAGAUUCACUUAACGAUCGCAUUACUAACUUAACUGUAGUGAUUCACUUAACAAAUGUGGCAAGAAAGGUAAUAAAAUGUCUCGCUUAGCAAUAGAAAUUUUGGGCUCAAUUGUGGUCAUAAGUUGAGGACUAUCUGUACAAGGUAAUUUCCAUCUAAUAAAAUAUAUUUUUGGGUUGCUUUGCAUAGUACCCCAAAUUAUCACUGUGGACAA
This is a non-coding RNA of Pantherophis guttatus, 1261 nucleotides long. The record is from RefSeq and is a predicted model, not a curated record. Lineage: Eukaryota; Metazoa; Chordata; Lepidosauria; Squamata; Colubridae.